RNAcentral lists this ribosomal RNA (245 nucleotides) under uncultured archaeon. Its description in RNAcentral is "partial 16S ribosomal RNA". It matches the Rfam family "Archaeal small subunit ribosomal RNA", at positions 474 to 718 of the family's 1478-position model. The record is from RNAcentral.
CACCAGCAGCUCUAGUGGUGAUCACGAUUACUGGGUUUAAAGCGUGCGUAGUCGGUUUGGCAAGUUUUCUGUGAAAUCCUGCGGCUUAACCGUGGGGAUUGCAGAAAAUACUACCAGGCUUGAGGCCGGGUGAGGCGUAGGGUAUUCUAGGGGUAGCGGUGAAAUGCUAUAAUCCUUGGAAGACCACCAGUAGCGAAGGCGCUACGCCAGAACGGGCCUGACGAUGAGGUACGAGAGCUAGGGGA